AUUGAACGCUGGCGGAAUGCUUUACACAUGCAAGUCGAACGGCAGCACGGGAGCUUGCUCCUGGUGGCGAGUGGCGAACGGGUGAGUAAUGCGUCGGAACGUACCGAGUAAUGGGGGAUAACGCAGCGAAAGCUGUGCUAAUACCGCAUAUUCUGUGCGCAGGAAAGCAGGGGACCGCAAGGCCUUGCGCUCUUUGAGCGGCCGAUGUCAGAUUAGCUAGUUGGUGAGGUAACGGCUUACCAAGGCGACGAUCUGUAGCGGGUCUGAGAGGAUGAUCCCCCACACUGGUACUGAGACACGGACCAGACUCCUACGGGAGGCAGCAGUGAGGAAUAUUGGACAAUGGGCGGGACCUGAUCCAGCCAUGCCGCGUGCAGGUAAACGGUCCUAAUGGAUUGUAAACUGCUUUUGACGGAAGAACAAGGGGCACGUGUGCCCCUUGACGGUACCGUAAGAUAAGGAUCGGCUAACUCCGU
Molecule: ribosomal RNA, 476 nt
Filed under: uncultured bacterium
Lineage: Bacteria
Description: bacterial SSU rRNA
Rfam family: Bacterial small subunit ribosomal RNA
Source: RNAcentral